UGCCAGCAGCCGCGGUAAUACGUAAGUGGCAAACGUUGUUCGGAAUCACUGGGCAUAAAGCGUCUGUAGGCGGUUUUAUAAGUCAGGUGUGAAAUCCCGGGGCUCAACCCCGGAACUGCACUUGAUACUGUAAAACUAGAAUGCGGGAGAGGUAAGCAGAAUUCAUGGUGUAGCGGUGAAAUGCGUUGAUAUCAUGGAGAAUACCGAUGGCGAAGGCAGCUUACUGGCCCUGCAUUGACGCUGAGAGACGAAAGCCAGGGUAGCGAAAGGGAUUAGAUA
RNAcentral lists this ribosomal RNA (279 nucleotides) under uncultured bacterium. RNAcentral's name for it is "partial 16S ribosomal RNA". It matches the Rfam family "Bacterial small subunit ribosomal RNA", at positions 506 to 784 of the family's 1533-position model. The record is from RNAcentral.